AAUAUAAUUUUAUUAUUUUAUAAUAUAUAUAAAAAGCUCAUGGUUUCCUUUUUCUUUUUCUUUGAAUGGGAGCUAAUGCUUAUGGAGUUUUAGUCCUUAUGGAGUUUUAAAAAUCAAUUCCUAAAAUAAAUCAUUUAUUAAAUGUAUCAUGAAUACAUUCAUUUGCUGAUUUUUGUCUCUUCAACGCACUUAGCUUGACACUUCCAUAAAAUACUUACUAAUCAUAAGAAUUCUUUCUUUUUUUUAACACACAUGUACACCUGCCCACAC
Molecule: long non-coding RNA, 270 nt
Filed under: Lathyrus oleraceus (garden pea)
Lineage: Eukaryota; Viridiplantae; Streptophyta; Magnoliopsida; Fabales; Fabaceae
Description: Pisum sativum (pea) long non-coding RNA (PSAT_LNC019568)
Source: RNAcentral